This 680-nucleotide long non-coding RNA is filed under the name Bos taurus (domestic cattle). RNAcentral's name for it is "long non-coding RNA NONBTAT026846". The record is from RNAcentral. Lineage: Eukaryota; Metazoa; Chordata; Mammalia; Artiodactyla; Bovidae.
GCAAAAGCUAAUUUUAUUUUUCUCUGGUAUUUCAAAGUGGUAGAUAAUCACCUUUGUAAGUAUUCAGAUUUGUUUGGGAAGAAACUACCAACAAGAUUUACUUCCAAGCUUUUUCUUUCUAACUCAAUACCAAGGUAAGUCUCAACAAAAAGUUCAUAAAUACUCAGAGUAUUUAUGGGAAGUUACAUAUAUUAGAGUUUUCAACCAACUAGACUAGCUUAUCAGAGUGCUUAGUUAACAUUUUGAAUUUUUCAAGAGGCUCAAGCACACAUGCAUUUUGAGGCCUAGAAACCUAUCUUAAAGGCAGAAAUUUCACUUGGCUACUGAGAGGUAAAAAUUGGAAGAAAAACCCUAGCUAAUACUAGUGCACACACCUUGCAGGUCUUGUAUUUACAAGUCUUCUAUGUUAAUCUUAGGAGAGACUUAAAUGUGUUAUAACACUCGCUGUGGCCUCUUAGACUAUUCCCAGUGAAGUGCUAAGCUUUGGGAAGCAGUGUCCAGCAAUGCUUCCAGUUUUCCAGGGAGACAGUCUGCGGCUGUGGACAGCAGAUCUGAGCAAGACUGCAGCAGGGCCCUUCCGAACACUUCCUUAGAUGCCAUUAUGCUGCUUUUCUGGGAUAGUGGAAUAGGCGAAACACAAUGCUCUGUGUUUUGUAUUUCAUGAUUUGUUUAGGCCGGGA